Capra hircus (goat) is the source of this 104-nucleotide small nuclear RNA. The record is from Ensembl. Lineage: Eukaryota; Metazoa; Chordata; Mammalia; Artiodactyla; Bovidae.
AUUCUCAUUUUGGCAGCACCUAAGCUAAAACUGGAAUGAUACAGAGAUUAGCAUGGCCCCAGAACAAGUAUGACAUUUAAAUCUGUAAAGUGUUCCAUAUUUUU